Molecule: long non-coding RNA, 906 nt
Filed under: Coffea arabica (coffee)
Lineage: Eukaryota; Viridiplantae; Streptophyta; Magnoliopsida; Gentianales; Rubiaceae
Description: long non-coding RNA (CARA_LNC003571)
Source: RNAcentral
UUGAAUCCUCAAAGUUUGUAGGAUGCGUAUUAGUUAUUACCAAGUGGGCCCAAAGUUGAGAUUGUAGUUACAAUAAAACACUUAAUCCCCAAGGAAGCUUUGGGGAUGUCUCAGCUUUACGUCCACCCGGAUGGUCAUGCUAGAAGAUAGAAUAAUGCUUGAAAUGUAUGUAGUCCAGUUCAUUUAGCUGUGAAGAUCUAGUCGGUCAUUCCAUUACUAUAAAUCCUUUCGUAGUUUAGUCACAAGCGCUGGAUGGUUUCACCGGCACUUUUUUAUCUCAUGAAUGGCCAAGACGACAAGAAGAAAGAAAUUGGAGGUAAAGCACAGAGAGAGGAAGGCAUUCCUACGGCACUUGCAUUCCAGGAAGUUCCAGGUGCUUCCCAAUCGGCCAAAGUCGUCAUGGAUGAGAGCUAGAGGUGGGGUUAAGAAGCGAAUGCUUUCGGAUUUGUACCCAAUCUCAUGUCACAAUAAUUUUCUUGUGUUCGUGGUUUACAGGAAAAAUCACGACAAGCUGAGGAACCAGGUUUACACGACAUGCGCAACAUAACGUAGAGAAUGCCUCAAAGCUUAAUGACAACAGACCCGAACGAGAUGUCUCAACUUUCAGCAUCAGUUGGUGGCGGACGACCAAUAUGAAAGACGGGAACUUGAUGUAAAAGAACAUCAAGUUAUGUCCAACUCACAAAGACAUGGAAAUGACCUAUCAAAAAGGGGAAGAUGUAGAAGAAGUUGCUCUUUCUAAGAGGCAUUACUUGUCUUUAGCUACACACAAGACAUCUCUGGAAUGAUUCUUUAAGAUUUUUCUGGCAUGUCCAUACUUGCUCCCCUCCCCUCUUCCCUUCAUUCAAUAAACUAUAUCUCUCACAUCUAUAUUGCAAUGAAUAUAUAUGUACAGGGUUCGUCAAA